UUAGCAGGCAGAGCAUAACUAACAAAGAGGUACAAUAGUGUGUUACUCCUACAGUGAUUAAGAAAAUAAGCACUUAAUAUAUUGGCUAUAGAUUGAUUGUUUUUUUAAACCCACAGAUUGAUCUUCAGACGUUCCUCACUCUCACAGAUCAGGAUUUGAAGGAACUUGGAAUUACUACUUUUGGUGCCAGGAGGAAAAUGCUGCUUGCAAUCUCAGUUUGUGACUCUGUUCAGAUCCGCAACAAGAUCCUGAGAGCUGCCAGGAUUGUGUGAACCUUGGAAUUUCAAAGAAAAAGAGCUAAAUAAAAACCGAAGAAAGCUAUUUGAACCACCAAAUGCACGCACCACUUUUCUGGAAGGUGGAGCAAGUGGGAGGCUGCCCCGUCAGUAUCACUCAGACAUUGCUAGUGUCAGUGGCCGCUGGUAGCAGUACCUUCUAGGCCCGCUCCCACCAGCGAACUGUAGAGUUGGACAGAGAAGAUCUGUGAAUGGCCUUCACUGCACACCGUGUUCAGUACUCUGGGUGUCUGGUAUCAGGACCAAAGCAUCUCAUUCACUCCUGUACUUUGUGGCAAAAAGAAAGAAGAGAGAGAAGAUGUUCUUAUAUUGCCAUAUAAACACCAAAUGUGGAUUACUUUUUAAAAUGGCAAUUGGACAGAAUUUGCAAUAUGAGGGUAGGGCUUUAUUCUUUUUUAUUUACCUAUAUAACAUAUGCACUGAUUUUUUUUUAUUUUUACUUAAAAUGAAGGACAAAUUGACAUCUGGAAUGCCAGAAAACUUAGGAGUUAUUUUGUUUGCUUGCUUAGUAUUUGGGGAUUUAAAGAAGUGAUCGAAAGUGGGGUUUUCUGGUACUGCUUUAAGUGGUAUUGAGGUCGUUGGCACCUCACAUGUUCUAGCCUCUUGUCCUGUGGAAAUUUCUCUUUCUCCUUCCCAGCCAUUUUCAUGGCACCUAACAUCUCGGUGCGGAGCAGAUUGAGUCACAUUUUUUUGAUUAUAUCAAAUUUUUAUUUGAAAUGGUACUGGAUAUUAGUUUUUGUGACUUUGGGAAAUGUGAGUCCACUUGGUAAUGGACCAAUUCUGUUCAACGUCAGCAUCCUAGAAACACAUAGCAUGAACCUAGUUCACAGUAACGGGCAAAGGCAGACCAAACGGACUUCCACUGUUAACCCUUUGCAGCCAUCAUAUCUAGCUGCUGCCUGUAUUGCUAAAAUGAUUUUAAUGGUUGUCUAAAGGCAAAGGGCUGUUUUUUAGUAUACUGCCACUAAAGGACAUUUAUUUAUAUCAAACUUUUAUUUUUAGAUAUUAUAAGCAUACAGUACAUAAUUGAUGAAAUUGAUAUUUACUAGAGAUUUAUGGAGAAUAGAUGGCAUUCAAUAACUGGAGCCCUAGAUUGUCACUUUAUUUAAAAAAGACAAAUAAUCAUCUGACAAGACAGCACUGUUGCCAUUAUGAAGAGAAAAAUGUUACAGGCCUCCUAAUACACCCAUAUGGUCAUAGGACUCUCCUAAAACUGUAUCUGUCUGCUUGAAGUCAAUUUGUAUUUGUUGAGAAUGGAAAAGCUUUAUUUAAGUCUCCAGGGUGACAGUUUAUAAAGCUAGAGGAAUUCUGAAGGAAAAAAAAUUUCUAGGUGGCUAAGAUUUAUUGUUAUAAUCUUAUACUGUGAAAGUCUAAGAAAUCAAGCAACAUUGUUUCCUAGGUCUU
Castor canadensis (American beaver) is the source of this 1700-nucleotide non-coding RNA. Lineage: Eukaryota; Metazoa; Chordata; Mammalia; Rodentia; Castoridae. The record is from RefSeq and is a predicted model, not a curated record.